This is an unclassified non-coding RNA of Ictidomys tridecemlineatus (thirteen-lined ground squirrel), 138 nucleotides long. The record is from Ensembl. NCBI's taxonomy places the organism in Eukaryota, Metazoa, Chordata, Mammalia, Rodentia, Sciuridae.
AUUUCUCCCCUCGUGAAAACAGAGAGCAACUGUUCAGGUGGGUGAAAAUAUCAUAUAAAUUUCUUUCAAAAACGACGAAACCUCCUCCUUUCACCCCUUCCACAGCAGUCGCCUCCAUGCUUUGUGGCACGUUUACGG